This 258-nucleotide ribosomal RNA is filed under the name uncultured bacterium. Its description in RNAcentral is "partial 16S ribosomal RNA". It matches the Rfam family "Bacterial small subunit ribosomal RNA", at positions 333 to 583 of the family's 1533-position model. The record is from RNAcentral.
CUCCUCCUACGGGAGGCAGCAGUAGGGAAUCUUCCACAAUGGACGAAAGUCUGAUGGAGCAACGCCGCGUGAGUGAAGAAGGGUUUCGGCUCGUAAAGCCCUGUUGGUAGUGGAGAAAGAUAGAGGUAGUAACUGGCCUUUAUUUGACGGUAAUUACUUAGAAAGUCACGGCUAAAUACGUGCCAGCAGCCGCGGUAAUACGUAGGUGGCAAGCGUUUUCCGGGUUUAUUGGGCGUAAAGCGAGUGCAGGCGGUUCAA